This 444-nucleotide ribosomal RNA is filed under the name uncultured bacterium. RNAcentral's name for it is "partial 16S ribosomal RNA". It matches the Rfam family "Bacterial small subunit ribosomal RNA", at positions 339 to 795 of the family's 1533-position model. The record is from RNAcentral.
CUACGGGCGGCUGCAGCGGGGAAUAUUGCACAAUGGGCGCAAGCCUGAUGCAGCAACGCCGCGUGAGGGAUGAAGGCCUUCGGGUUGUAAACCUCUUUUAGCAGGGAAGAAGCGAAAGUGACGGUACCUGCAGAAAAAGCACCGGCUAACUACGUGCCAGCAGCCGCGGUAAUACGUAGGGUGCAAGCGUUGUCCGGAAUUAUUGGGCGUAAAGAGCUCGUAGGCGGUUUGUCACGUCUGCUGUGAAAAUCCAAGGCUCAACCUUGGACUUGCAGUGGGUACGGGCAGGCUAGAGUGCGGUAGGGGAGAUGGGAAUUCCUGGUGUAGCGGUGGAAUGCGCAGAUAUCAGGAGGAACACCAAUGGCGAAGGCACAUCUCUGGGCCGUAACUGACGCUGAGGAGCGAAAGCGUGGGGAGCGAACAGGAUUAGAUACCCCUGUAGUC